This 677-nucleotide ribosomal RNA is filed under the name isidid n. sp. B. RNAcentral's name for it is "partial 16S ribosomal RNA". It matches the Rfam family "Bacterial large subunit ribosomal RNA", at positions 1821 to 2592 of the family's 2925-position model. Lineage: Eukaryota; Metazoa; Cnidaria; Anthozoa; Malacalcyonacea; Isididae. The record is from RNAcentral.
CUCUGCUAAAGGUUUCUCCUGAAGUAUAGAGGGUGAAUUCUGCCCAAUGGUUGUAUAGUGAAACUGAGGACUAACGUCUAAAGCGAAACCCAACUGAAUGGCCGCGGUAACUCUGACCGUGAUAAUGUAGCACAAUAAAUAGCCAAUUAAUUGUUGGCGGGUAUGAAUGGAACCACGAGGGUCUUACUGUCUCAAGAGGAAAGCCGAUGAAAUUAUAAUUGUAGUGAAGAUACUACAUAAACAUUGUAAGACGAAAAGACCCUAUCGAGCUUUACUGGAUACCGAUAGCGUUAAUUUAGAAUGAUCGAUACUAAGUAUCCUAAUUCUAAGUUAAUAAUUUUUGUUGGUAGGACAGUUUAGUUGGGGCGACUACCUUUGAAUAAGAAACGAAGGCGAGCUUAUGGUAUUAUUAAAAUCUCAUUAGCCUCACAGUGAGGGGGACACCCCUAGCUGGCACAGGCCCUCAUAGUAUAUUAUAUGCGGAAGGGAUGUGGGCGAUAGUGACCCGAUAUGAUUAUCCAAAAUAAAUAUCGAAAGCGGAUAAAAGCUACCGUAGGGAUAACAGCGUAAUAUUGUCGGAGAGUUCUUAUCGAGGACAGUGUUUGCGACCUCGAUGUUGAAUUGCGGUGCCCUGGUGCUGUAGAAGGUACCUUAGGUUGGUCUGUUCGACCAUGAAA